AGUGGAUGGGCUUGUUAAAACAGGUUUCUGGGUCUCACUCUGACAGUUUCUGAUUCUGUAAGUCUGGGACGGGGCCAGAGAGUUUGAAUUUCUACAAGUUCCCUGGUGUGAUAGGCAGCUUUCCAAAGCUAUCCCAGCAGGAACCCCAUCCCCUGGUUAGUCACUGAAACACCAUCCAGGAACUGCUGGGAAGGGACUAGCAGGUGGGGUUCAGGCUCCUAACGGACUGACUGUGAAGGAGGGAGAUGCUCCUGGCUUAUCUGGGUGGGUCCAGGGUAGUCACCUGAGCCCUAAAAGCAGAGAGAGGUCAGACAAAGGUGGAGCAUGAGGAAGGUUCCCUCUGCCCUUGCUGGCUUUGGAGACGGAGGAAGGAGCUGGAGCCAAUGAUGCGGUUGGCCUCUGGAAACCAAGAACAGCCCCAAACAGCUCAUGGAACCCAGGGCCUUGAGACUGCACGCAACUGAUUUCUGACAACAGCCUGAAGGAGCUUGAAAGAGAUUCAUCCGCAGAGCUUCUGGAGAGGGCUGCAGCCCUGAGCCAGGUCUCCUGGACGCUCAGCAGAGAGGCAUCUGAGCCGCGCUGUGCUGGGCUUCUGACCUACAGAAACUGUGAGAGGAUGCAUUUGCGUUGUUCUGAUCAUUGAAUUUCUGGUGAUUCGUUACGGCAGCAAUAGAAAGUUAAUACUCGUGGUAUACUGAUGCUGCUGGACCACAAUGUGAGAAUCGCUGGCUUGUCUGGUAUGUGCAAACUGACGUGCAGUCAGCAAAGACGGAGGUGAGAUACGGACCUGGGUGGAACGACUCUAGGCGGGACCUAAGCUCUUGUUUGCUGUUGACUUCACGAAGAGGGAGGACGGCAGCGCUGUCUCCCGCAGAGAGGAAAGGCCUUGUGAGGACUCUUGAGGACAGCUCCUGCCAGGAACCGGCCCAGCUCCCCCGGGUCCUGGACCUCCAGCCUCCAGAACUAUGAUAAAACUGAGUAACCAGCUUGCACAUCUGAUGGACGGCAGAGCUGGGCUGGUCCCCGUGUCUUCAGUCUCUUCUAGUUCUUCCUGGACAUCUUGGGAUAAGGAGGAUGUUGGUCAAGAGAGGAUGUAGAUUUGUUGGAAUCAUCAGAGGAGACUGAGAAUCUCCAAGUACCGAAGUGGAGGACGACGGUGCGAGCCAGAGAGCUUAGACGACAGACAGACGUGUGGUUCCCCUGGUCUGGGAGCUGCACAGCACCAGGCUGUCUGGAGGCCGUGACAGGGGAGGAAGGGACCCUGGUGGCCCAAGAGUGGAAGCGCCCGCCAUGCUGCAGAAGACUUCUCCUUUCUGGCCUGUUGUGCAGUGUCUUCAUUCUCAAUAAAUACACAAUUUGACCUUACACGUGA
Molecule: long non-coding RNA, 1372 nt
Filed under: Equus caballus (horse)
Lineage: Eukaryota; Metazoa; Chordata; Mammalia; Perissodactyla; Equidae
Description: lncRNA (ENSECAG00000056838.1)
Source: RNAcentral